GACGAACGCUGGCGGCGUGCUUAACACAUGCAAGUCGAGCGGUAAGGCCCUUUCGGGGGUACGACGAGCGGCGAACGGGUGAGUAACACGUGGGUGACCUGCCCUCAGCUCUGGGAUAAGCCUGGGAAACCGGGUCUAAUACUGGAUAUGACUCCAUGACGCAUGUUGUGGGGUGGAAAGCCUUGUGCGGCUGAGGAUGGGCCCGCGGCCUAUCAGCUUGUUGGUGGGGUGAGGCCUACCAAGGCGACGACGGGUAGCCGGCCUGAGAGGGCGACCGGCCACACUGGGACUGAGACACGGCCCAGACUCCUACGGGAGGCAGCAGUGGGGAAUCUUGCGCAAUGGGGCGAAAGCCUGACGCAGCGACGCCGCGUGAGGGAUGAC
Molecule: ribosomal RNA, 384 nt
Filed under: uncultured bacterium
Lineage: Bacteria
Description: bacterial SSU rRNA
Rfam family: Bacterial small subunit ribosomal RNA
Source: RNAcentral